Molecule: ribosomal RNA, 1032 nt
Filed under: Aspergillus proliferans
Lineage: Eukaryota; Fungi; Ascomycota; Eurotiomycetes; Eurotiales; Aspergillaceae
Description: SSU rRNA
Rfam family: Eukaryotic small subunit ribosomal RNA
Source: RNAcentral
ACUUUAUACUGUGAAACUGCGAAUGGCUCAUUAAAUCAGUUAUCGUUUAUUUGAUAGUACCUUACUACAUGGAUACCUGUGGUAAUUCUAGAGCUAAUACAUGCUAAAAACCUCGACUUCGGAAGGGGUGUAUUUAUUAGAUAAAAAACCAACGCCCUUCGGGGCUCCUUGGUGAAUCAUAAUAACUAAGCGAAUCGCAUGGCCUUGCGCCGGCGAUGGUUCAUUCAAAUUUCUGCCCUAUCAACUUUCGAUGGUAGGAUAGUGGCCUACCAUGGUGGCAACGGGUAACGGGGAAUUAGGGUUCGAUUCCGGAGAGGGAGCCUGAGAAACGGCUACCACAUCCAAGGAAGGCAGCAGGCGCGCAAAUUACCCAAUCCCGACACGGGGAGGUAGUGACAAUAAAUACUGAUACGGGGCUCUUUUGGGUCUCGUAAUUGGAAUGAGUACAAUCUAAAUCCCUUAACGAGGAACAAUUGGAGGGCAAGUCUGGUGCCAGCAGCCGCGGUAAUUCCAGCUCCAAUAGCGUAUAUUAAAGUUGUUGCAGUUAAAAAGCUCGUAGUUGAACCUUGGGUCUGGCUGGCCGGUCCGCCUCACCGCGAGUACUGGUCCGGCUGGACCUUUCCUUCUGGGGAACCUCAUGGCCUUCACUGGCUGUGGGGGGAACCAGGACUUUUACUGUGAAAAAAUUAGAGUGUUCAAAGCAGGCCUUUGCUCGAAUACAUUAGCAUGGAAUAAUAGAAUAGGACGUGCGGUUCUAUUUUGUUGGUUUCUAGGACCGCCGUAAUGAUUAAUAGGGAUAGUCGGGGGCGUCAGUAUUCAGCUGUCAGAGGUGAAAUUCUUGGAUUUGCUGAAGACUAACUACUGCGAAAGCAUUCGCCAAGGAUGUUUUCAUUAAUCAGGGAACGAAAGUUAGGGGAUCGAAGACGAUCAGAUACCGUCGUAGUCUUAACCAUAAACUAUGCCGACUAGGGAUCGGGCGGUGUUUCUAUAAUGACCCGCUCGGCACCUUACGAGAAAUCAAAGUUUUUGGGU